Molecule: ribosomal RNA, 586 nt
Filed under: Saccharomyces cerevisiae (brewer's yeast)
Lineage: Eukaryota; Fungi; Ascomycota; Saccharomycetes; Saccharomycetales; Saccharomycetaceae
Description: partial large subunit ribosomal RNA
Rfam family: Eukaryotic large subunit ribosomal RNA
Source: RNAcentral
AGGAAAAGAAACCAACCGGGAUUGCCUUAGUAACGGCGAGUGAAGCGGCAAAAGCUCAAAUUUGAAAUCUGGUACCUUCGGUGCCCGAGUUGUAAUUUGGAGAGGGCAACUUUGGGGCCGUUCCUUGUCUAUGUUCCUUGGAACAGGACGUCAUAGAGGGUGAGAAUCCCGUGUGGCGAGGAGUGCGGUUCUUUGUAAAGUGCCUUCGAAGAGUCGAGUUGUUUGGGAAUGCAGCUCUAAGUGGGUGGUAAAUUCCAUCUAAAGCUAAAUAUUGGCGAGAGACCGAUAGCGAACAAGUACAGUGAUGGAAAGAUGAAAAGAACUUUGAAAAGAGAGUGAAAAAGUACGUGAAAUUGUUGAAAGGGAAGGGCAUUUGAUCAGACAUGGUGUUUUGUGCCCUCUGCUCCUUGUGGGUAGGGGAAUCUCGCAUUUCACUGGGCCAGCAUCAGUUUUGGUGGCAGGAUAAAUCCAUAGGAAUGUAGCUUGCCUCGGUAAGUAUUAUAGCCUGUGGGAAUACUGCCAGCUGGGACUGAGGACUGCGACGUAAGUCAAGGAUGCUGGCAUAAUGGUUAUAUGCCGCCCGUCU